GAGUUUGAUCGUGGCUCAGAUUGAACGCUGGCGGCAUGCCUUACACAUGCAAGUCGAACGGCAGCAUGAUCUAGCUUGCUAGAUUGAUGGCGAGUGGCGAACGGGUGAGUAAUACAUCGGAACGUGCCCUGUAGUGGGGGAUAACUAGUCGAAAGAUUAGCUAAUACCGCAUACGACCUGAGGGUGAAAGUGGGGGACCGCAAGGCCUCAUGCUAUAGGAGCGGCCGAUGUCUGAUUAGCUAGUUGGUGGGUAAAGGCCCACCAAGGCGACGAUCAGUAGCUGGUCUGAGAGGGCGAUCAGCCACACUGGGACUGAGACACGGCCCAGACUCCUACGGGAGGCAGCAGUGGGGAAUUUUGGACAAUGGGCGAAAGCCUGAUCCAGCAAUGCCGCGUGUGUGAAGAAGGCCUCGGUGUAAG
Molecule: ribosomal RNA, 420 nt
Filed under: uncultured microorganism
Description: bacterial SSU rRNA
Rfam family: Bacterial small subunit ribosomal RNA
Source: RNAcentral